Fukomys damarensis (Damara mole-rat) is the source of this 502-nucleotide long non-coding RNA. RefSeq lists it as uncharacterized. The record is from RefSeq and is a predicted model, not a curated record. The transcript is spliced from 3 exons. Lineage: Eukaryota; Metazoa; Chordata; Mammalia; Rodentia; Bathyergidae.
CUGGCUGACCUCUUGGUUCAAACUGGCCGGUGCGCAUAAGCAGCCAGGUGCAGGGAUGUGGGUACCGGGAUCCAGGGGAACCUACCCUCCCAAAGGCAUGGAACCCUGUGCUAGCGCCUCCGCCCUCUCCCACCGCGCUCCCCUCUGUCCCCGUUAUCCAGGGCAGCCUGGACAUCGUGACCUGCACCGUGGCCGUGAGAAGAGACGACCCAGAGAGAGCUCGUGCUGCAUGCAGCCCUGGGCCUCAGAGUUGAUGAGCUGUGUGCCUCUGCUCAGGAGCCCCUGAGGAGCUUCUGAACACCUGCUUUGGGACUCUGGCCUCUGAGGACAUCCCGGAUUGGCCUCCUAGUGGAGAUGUGCACUGUGAUCUCCAGAAAGUCAAGGCCAAACAGGCUACCUGAACUACAUAGCAAGACCCCUGCCUCAACAAAAUAAAAUAUCAUCCAUGUCAUUCACAAUCAAACACACCCUGCCUCUCCCCACUCUUUCUCUACUGGGGACU